RNAcentral lists this non-coding RNA (115 nucleotides) under Hyphomicrobiales bacterium. RNAcentral's name for it is "Rhizobiales bacterium Glycine sequence". It matches the Rfam family "Glycine riboswitch aptamer", at positions 7 to 88 of the family's 94-position model. From Rfam's summary of the family: This family represents the bacterial glycine riboswitch. Glycine riboswitches usually consist of two metabolite-binding aptamers domains with similar structures in tandem. Lineage: Bacteria; Pseudomonadati; Pseudomonadota; Alphaproteobacteria; Hyphomicrobiales. The record is from RNAcentral.
CACUCUGGAAAGAGGCAGGUCGAGACAGGCCUGCCCACCGAAGGGCGUAACUCGGCAGUUUCGAAACCUGGUUUCGAGGGUUCCGAGGAAAUCUCUCAGGUUACGGGACAGAGGG